This 1430-nucleotide ribosomal RNA is filed under the name Clostridioides difficile. Its description in RNAcentral is "partial 23S ribosomal RNA". It matches the Rfam family "Bacterial large subunit ribosomal RNA", at positions 1 to 1444 of the family's 2925-position model. The record is from RNAcentral. Lineage: Bacteria; Bacillati; Bacillota; Clostridia; Peptostreptococcales; Peptostreptococcaceae.
GGUCAAGUUAUUAAGGGUGCAGGGCGGAUGCCUUGGCACUAGGAGCCGAUGAAGGACGUGAUAAGCUGCGAUAAGCUUCGGGGAGUUGCACGUAAACUUUGAUCCGAAGAUUUCCGAAUGAGGAAACUCACUUAGAGUAAUGUCUAAGUAUCAUUAAGUGAAUACAUAGCUUAAUGAGGGGAACUCAGGGAACUGAAACAUCUAAGUACCUGAAGGAAGAGAAAGAAAUUCGAUUCCGUAAGUAGCGGCGAGCGAACGCGGAUUAGCCCAAACCAAUAAAGUUUUCUUUAUUGGGGUUGCGGACAUAUCAUAACGAAGAGGUAUCGUAAUUGAAGAGGUUUGGAAAGACCUACCACAGAAGGUAAUAGUCCUGUAUGUUAAACGAGAAGACUUUAGAUAUGAUCCAGAGUACCACGGGACACGUGAAACCCUGUGGGAAGCAGGAGGGACCACCCUCCAAGGCUAAAUACUACCUAGUGACCGAUAGCGUAUAGUACCGUGAGGGAAAGGUGAAAAGAACCCCGGGAGGGGAGUGAAAUAGAACCUGAAACCCUGCACUUACAAGCUGUGGAAGCACAUUUCUUGUGUGACCGCGUACUUUUUGUAGAACGGGCCAACGAGUUACGUUAAGUAGCAAGGUUAAGCACUUAAGGUGUGGAGCCGUAGCGAAAGCGAGUUUUAACUGAGCGUUCAGUUACUUGACGUAGACCCGAAACCGGGCGACCUACCCAUGAGCAGGAUGAAGCGAAAGUAAAAUUUCGUGGAGGUCCGAACCCACGAGCGUUGAAAAGCUCGGGGAUGACUUGUGGGUAGCGGUGAAAUUCCAAUCGAGCCCGGAGAUAGCUGGUUCUCCCCGAAAUAGCUUUAGGGCUAGCCUCAAGGUGAGAGAUACGGAGGUAGAGCACUGAAUGUCCUAGGGGGUAUUGCACCUACCGAAGACUAUCAAACUCCGAAUGCCGUCAUCUUAUACUUGGGAGUCAGACUGUGGGUGAUAAGAUUCAUAGUCGAAAGGGCAACAGCCCAGAUCGUCAGCUAAGGUCCCUAAAUGUAAGUUAAGUGGUAAAGGAUGUGGGAUUGCACAGACAACCAGGAUGUUGGCUUAGAAGCAGCCACUCAUUCAAAGAGUGCGUAAUAGCUCACUGGUCGAGUGAUCCUGCGCCGAAGAUUUCCGGGGCUAAAACUUACUACCGAAGCUACGGCAUCAGUAAUGAUGGGUAGGGGAGCUUCCCAUACGGGUUGAAGCAUGACCGUAAGGACAUGUGGACAGUAUGGGAGUGAGAAUGUUGGCAUGAGUAGCGAGAUGUGGGUGAGAAUCCCACAGGCCGUAAACCCAAGGUUUCCAGGGGAAGGUUCGUCCGCCCUGGGUUAGUCGGGACCUAAGCUGAGGCCGAAAGGCGUAGGUGAUGGACAACAGGUUGAUAUUCCUGUAC